Molecule: ribosomal RNA, 484 nt
Filed under: uncultured bacterium
Lineage: Bacteria
Description: partial 16S ribosomal RNA
Rfam family: Bacterial small subunit ribosomal RNA
Source: RNAcentral
AUUGAACGCUGGCGGCAGGCCUAACACAUGCAAGUCGAGCGGAUGAAGGGAGCUCGCUCCUGUAUUCAGCGGCGGACGGGUGAGUAAUGCCUAGGAAACUGCCUGCUAGUGUGGGAUAACGUACGGAAACGGGCGCUAAUACCGCAUAAGUCCUGAGGGUGAACGUGGGGGAUCUUCGGACCUCACGCUAUCAGAUGAGCCUAGGUCGGAUUAGCUAGUUGGUGGGGUAAAGGCCUACUAAGGCGACGAUCCGUAUCUGGUCUGAGAGGAUGAUCAGUCACACUGGAACUGAGACAGGGUCCAGACUCCUACGGGAGGCAGCAGUGGGGAAUAUUGGACAAUGGGCGAAAGCCUGAUACAGCCAGGGCGCGUGUGUGAAGAAGGUCUUCGGAUUGUAAAGAACUUUAAGUUGGGAGGAAGGGCAGUAAGUUAAUACCUUGCUGUUUUGACGUUACCAACAGAAUAAGCCCCGGCUAACUUCGUG